CUCCUACCACAACAAAGUAGCGGAUACUGGACAAAGCUGAAAUUCAAGUAAAUUUGACACUCAGAUGUUACAGGGUGAUUAUUGUACUUUGUGGUGAAUGAUCAUAUUUACAAUCAUUGUGAGAAAUUAGCCCUGUUUACUAAGACUCAACUAACACCAUAUAUUUUAUUAUUAUUAUUAUUAUUAUUAUUAUUAUUAUUAUUUUGGGUGGCUCUGAUUCCCUUGGGAGGGGGUAAAUGGCUCACAACAAUUGGAACUGAAAUAUGUACUUAAUAACAUGGGACCUGAGACCACUUUGCUGGUUCUACCUGUUCUCCCAAGAUUAUGCUCUCUCCUCAGCACUGUUCUUUCUUGUUUUUUCCUUCCCUUUGGUUCCCAGUAGACUUUUUCUCCCAGGUCAGCAUGAAAACAGACCUGCAUCUAUAGCACAGAAACACAUGAUGAGUUCAUGCAGCCUCAUGCACUUCAUGUAAAAUAUCCCUGCUUUCAUGGACCCUGGUCCUCUGGCUCAGACUCUGCUCCCAGAACUGAGAGCUAUUUGCCCACCUCCAAGAGCAUUUCAUCCUUCAGGCCUGUGGGCAUCUGCAUCAAAGCCUUGCAGCUUCACCUCCCUUACAAUUUCACCAAUCCUCUCCUUUCUCUAUCUCCAACCGGCUUCUGAAGAUCAGAAACAUAGGCAUAAAUACUGCCUGAUGACCUUUCCAUUUCUUAGGAGUCCCCAUAAAGGCCUAGGAAAUAACUCCAAAAUGGGCUGAAGUUUGGAUACCUUUUGGAUUGAGACAUUGUUUCAUUUUAGGACAAAAUAAACUGUUUAAAGUUUCAUGUUCAAAUAUUGGAACCUGUAUUAUACCUCCUAAAUCAUCUCUGAAAAUAACGCAGAACAUUUUUAUGUAGAGUUAACUGCCCCUGGUGCCAGGUGAUUGUGAAUCAUGCACAGAGCCAGGCACAGCUCUGAGGUGUAAUGGCUUCCUGUGUUUGUGCCUUCAGGGCAGACAGCCAGUUACUAAGAGGGGUUUGGGGAUGGGGACAAUCAGUGUGUUCUUUGUGGGCUUCUUCUUCUUGAAUUUUGCUCCACAGGUUGGAGGUUAAAUUUCAGUCCUCCUAACUAGGCCUUAAAAGUCUGGGUAGAGCAGAUGCUCGCUGGAACCUAUGUAGGUUAUGAAGCAAGGAGCUCACUGCCUUACGUGGUCAGGAAAGGCAGGAGCAAAAGCCAGUGUGAAGGUGUAGGAGUUGGAAGGAAGUUGGAAACCAGCGCUUUGUGGCCCUUCCCUUUGAGAUUCACAAAGGAAAAUGAGAUGUCUCCUUGCUGAAAGCAAAAUGGAACCUCCUUCCUGCACAUAAGCCCUUCCUCACAGCAGGUUAUUCCAAGGGAGAAGAAGUAUGACUUCCAAAUACUGUCAAAGGAAAUAGGCAUGUCUAAAGGAGACGAGGACCACUGAGUGUGUUUUUCAUGUGUGGAACAUGUCUGCUGCACUAAACAAUUCUUGAUUAGUGAGGGAAGGGGGUAUUUACCAAUACCUCCUUCUAGCAUUCCAAUUCCCUAGUUUCUGCUACUGCUGUGUCUGAAACCACAGUGUCUUCAUCAGGAACAAACGAGGAACAAACACAAACUGCCUACAGUCCUCUCAGAGGUAUUCAAAGCACAUCAUAGAGAAGACGACGCUUGAAGAUGAGAAGGGUAAAAAAAAA
This is a long non-coding RNA of Phyllostomus discolor (pale spear-nosed bat), 1689 nucleotides long. RefSeq lists it as uncharacterized. The transcript has 2 exons. Lineage: Eukaryota; Metazoa; Chordata; Mammalia; Chiroptera; Phyllostomidae. The record is from RefSeq and is a predicted model, not a curated record.